This 427-nucleotide ribosomal RNA is filed under the name uncultured bacterium. RNAcentral describes it as "bacterial SSU rRNA". It matches the Rfam family "Bacterial small subunit ribosomal RNA", at positions 355 to 774 of the family's 1533-position model. The record is from RNAcentral.
UGGGGAAUUUUGGACAAUGGGCGCAAGCCUGAUCCAGCAAUGCCGCGUGCAGGAUGAAGGCCUUCGGGUUGUAAACUGCUUUUGUACGGAACGAAAAAGCUCUCUCUAAUACAGGGGGUGAAUGACGGUACCGUAAGAAUAAGCACCGGCUAACUACGUGCCAGCAGCCGCGGUAAUACGUAGGGUGCAAGCGUUAAUCGGAAUUACUGGGCGUAAAGCGUGCGCAGGCGGUUUUGUAAGACAGAGGUGAAAUCCCCGGGCUCAACCUGGGAACUGCCUUUGUGACUGCAAAGCUGGAGUGCGGCAGAGGGGGAGGGAAUUCCGCGUGUAGCAGUGAAAUGCGUAGAGAUGUGGAAGAACACCGAUGGCGAAGGCAGCUCCCUGGGUUGACACUGACGCUCAUGCACGAAAGCGUGGGGAGCAAACA